UACCGAGUUUUCGAGCUCCGGCUUGACUUUCCCACCCUUUGUGAACGUACCUCUGUUGCUUUGGCGGCUCCGGCCGCCAAAGGACCUUCAAACUCCAGUCAGUAAACGCAGACGUCUGAUAAACAAGUUAAUAAACUAAAACUUUCAACAACGGAUCUCUUGGUUCUGGCAUCGAUGAAGAACGCAGCGAAAUGCGAUAAGUAAUGUGAAUUGCAGAAUUCAGUGAAUCAUCGAAUCUUUGAACGCACAUUGCGCCCCUUGGUAUUCCGGGGGGCAUGCCUGUUCGAGCGUCAUUACAACCCUCAAGCUCUGCUUGGAAUUGGGCACCGUCCUCACUGCGGACGCGCCUCAAAGACCUCGGCGGUGGCUGUUCAGCCCUCAAGCGUAGUAGAAUACACCUCGCUUUGGAGCGGUUGGCGUCGCCCGCCGGACGAACCUUCUGAACUUUUCCAAAGGUUGACCUCGGAUCAGGUAGGGAUACC
This 482-nucleotide ribosomal RNA is filed under the name fungal sp. E14719C. RNAcentral describes it as "eukaryotic LSU rRNA". The stretch from base 140 to 293 matches the Rfam family "5.8S ribosomal RNA". Lineage: Eukaryota; Fungi. The record is from RNAcentral.